GCCGGUUUGGCUCAGUGGAUAGAGCGUCAGCCUCCAGACUGAAGGAUGUUGGGUUCAAUUCCAGUCAAGGGCA
Myotis lucifugus (little brown bat) is the source of this 73-nucleotide non-coding RNA. NCBI's taxonomy places the organism in Eukaryota, Metazoa, Chordata, Mammalia, Chiroptera, Vespertilionidae. The record is from Rfam.